RNAcentral lists this ribosomal RNA (254 nucleotides) under uncultured bacterium. RNAcentral's name for it is "partial 16S ribosomal RNA". It matches the Rfam family "Bacterial small subunit ribosomal RNA", at positions 524 to 776 of the family's 1533-position model. The record is from RNAcentral.
UACAGAGGGUGCGAGCGUUGUCCGGAAUCACUGGGCGUAAAGGGCGCGUAGGUGGCGGCCCAAGUCCAUGGUGAAAGCUCGAUGCUCAACAUCGAGUCGGCCACGGAUACUGGGUUGCUCGAGCACUGUAGGGGCAGAUGGAAUUCCGGGUGUAGCGGUGGAAUGCGUAGAGAGUCCGGAAGAACACCGGUGGCGAAGGCGGUCUGCUGGGCAGUUGCUGACACUGAGGCGCGACAGCGUGGGGAGCAAACAGG